UGGCACCAACCAGUGAUGGAGCAGGACCACUACAGCUCCUGUUCACCUCCCUGCCACUGCACCUGGAGCAGAAAGGUGCGACUCCAGAAAGAAGCGGGUCUGAAGAAGUACCCAGCCGCUCCGGCAUCCUUGUCCUUCCUCACAGGAGCGAGGGUAGUGAAAGCUAUGAUGUCACCAUCAAGAUGCCCUUGACGUGGUCAUCGAUGACUCAAUCUAUCAGGAACCAGUGCCAUUCAAGUGCCCAUCAAGUCAUCCCUGUUGAAGGGCAGGAUUGAAAUCAUUCUCGUCCAGAGUCUAGCUGGAGGAGAGGAGGGAAGAAUCCAGACUCUAGACAUGUCAACUCAAAAGUUCACCAGGAUGGUGCUCACAGAGGAAACAUGCUCAGGGAAUUGAGGAGGAUCAGCAAAGACACAGGCGACAAGGUGGCUGAUGGGAAAGUAGGGCUGGAGGGAGAAAGCAGGCCAGCCGGGCAGGUGUGGGCAGAGACCUGCCUGCUGCUGCCACUUGCUUUUUGCCCCUGCUGGACGGUCAGGAGGGAUCCCGAGAGGUGGGCCAGUGCCUGCUCCUGGGUCAGGCUGGGAUGACAGCAGGAAACGCCUUCAGUGCCGCUUGAGACGCUCAGCCAUGGACUCCCAGCCAUUGUUCUGCAGGCCCACCUCCUUAACAAGUCCCACUCAGCGAAUGUUCUAGCUCAGAAUAUUA
Bubalus bubalis (water buffalo) is the source of this 702-nucleotide long non-coding RNA. RefSeq lists it as uncharacterized. The record is from RefSeq and is a predicted model, not a curated record. Lineage: Eukaryota; Metazoa; Chordata; Mammalia; Artiodactyla; Bovidae. The transcript is spliced from 3 exons.